RNAcentral lists this ribosomal RNA (556 nucleotides) under uncultured archaeon. Its description in RNAcentral is "bacterial SSU rRNA". It matches the Rfam family "Archaeal small subunit ribosomal RNA", at positions 202 to 761 of the family's 1478-position model. The record is from RNAcentral.
CCCAAGGAUGGGGCCGCGGCCGAUCAGGUUGUUGGUGAGGUAAUGGCCCACCAAGCCUUUAACCGGUACGGGCCGUGGGAGCGGUAGCCCGGAGAUGGGCACUGAGACAAGGGCCCAGGCCCUACGGGGCGCAGCAGUCGCGAAAACUUCGCAAUAAGCGAAAGCUUGACGGGGCCAUCCCGAGUGCCAUCUGCUGAGGAUGGCUUUUACCUAGUAUAGAUAGCUGGGGGAAUAAGGAGAGGGCAAGUCUGGUGUCAGCCGCCGCGGUAAUACCAGCUCUCCGAGUUGUAGGGAUGUUUAUUGGGCCUAAAGCAUCCGUAGCCGGCUGGACAAGUCCUCUGUUAAAUCCAGCGACCAAUCGUUGGUCUGCGGGGGAUACUGUCCGGCUUGGGGGCGGGAGAGGCCGUCGGUAUUCCUGGGGUAGGGGUGAAAUCCUAUAAUCCCAGGAGGACCACCAGUGGCGAAGGCUGUCGGCUAGAACGCGCCCGACGGUGAGGGAUGAAAGCUGGGGGAGCGAACCGGAUUAGAUACCCGGGUAGUCCCAGCUGUAAACGAU